CUGGAGCCUUUCUCCAAAGCCUUGGCAGGAGAUCUAUUGGAAUACUCUGACUGUCCACAUUCUUGGAAAGACGGCAAUAGGAGCAAGUUGCUUUCAUCCAGCCAGUUUUCUACAUUUCUACAGUAUGUGAAGUUUAACCUCUCAAGGAAUCUUUAAAAGACUGGGAAGACUAUAAUCAGAGACUGGAAAGUGAAAGGAUUGUUUAUGAUUCACCAUCAAACCACAGAAUUUAACAAAGAAG
Long non-coding RNA from Lemur catta (Ring-tailed lemur), 241 nucleotides. RefSeq lists it as uncharacterized. The record is from RefSeq and is a predicted model, not a curated record. The transcript has 3 exons. NCBI's taxonomy places the organism in Eukaryota, Metazoa, Chordata, Mammalia, Primates, Lemuridae.